This 88-nucleotide microRNA precursor is filed under the name Medicago truncatula (barrel medic). RNAcentral describes it as "MIR5298 microRNA precursor family". It matches the Rfam family "MIR5298 microRNA precursor family". The record is from Rfam by way of RNAcentral. Lineage: Eukaryota; Viridiplantae; Streptophyta; Magnoliopsida; Fabales; Fabaceae.
UUAGGUUUUCUUCAUUUUCUUUUGGAAUUUUUCUGGGAUUCUUGUUAAAGGUUGAUGAAGAUGAUAUGAAGAUGAAAAAGAGGAGAAU